CCGGAGAAUGUUAUCACGGGAGACACACGGCGGGUGCUAACGUCCGUCGUGAAGAGGGAAACAACCCAGACCGCCAGCUAAGGUCCCAAAGUCAUGGUUAAGUGGGAAACGAUGUGGGAAGGCCCAGACAGCCAGGAUGUUGGCUUAGAAGCAGCCAUCAUUUAAAGAAAGCGUAAUAGCUCACUGGUCGAGUCGGCCUGCGCGGAAGAUGUAACGGGGCUAAACCAUGCACCGAAGCUGCGGCAGCGACACUCAGGUGUUGUUGGGUAGGGGAGCGUUCUGUAAGCCUGUGAAGGUGGCCUGUGAGGGUUGCUGGAGGUAUCAGAAGUGCGAAUGCUGACAUAAGUAACGAUAAAGCGGGUGAAAAGCCCGCUCGCCGGAAGACCAAGGGUUCCUGUCCAACGUUAAUCGGGGCAGGGUGAGUCGACCCCUAAGGCGAGGCCGAAAGGCGUAGUCGAUGGGAAACGGGUUAAUAUUCCCGUACUUGGUGUUACUGCGAAGGGGGGACGGAGAAGGCUAUGUUGGCCGGGCGACGGUUGU
RNAcentral lists this ribosomal RNA (540 nucleotides) under Salmonella enterica subsp. enterica serovar Oranienburg. Its description in RNAcentral is "bacterial LSU rRNA". It matches the Rfam family "Bacterial large subunit ribosomal RNA", at positions 962 to 1505 of the family's 2925-position model. Lineage: Bacteria; Pseudomonadati; Pseudomonadota; Gammaproteobacteria; Enterobacterales; Enterobacteriaceae. RNAcentral also lists the same sequence under 2 other names. The record is from RNAcentral.